AUACGGAGGGGGUUAGCGUUGUUCGGAAUUACUGGGCGUAAGGCGUACGUAGGCGGAUCAGAAAGUAUAGGGUGAAAUCCCAGGGCUCAACCCUGGAACUGCCUUAUAAACUCCUGGUCUUGAGUUCGAGAGAGGUGAGUGGAAUUCCAAGUGUAGAGGUGAAAUUCGUAGAUAUUUGGAGGAACACCAGUGGCGAAGGCGGCUCACUGGCUCGAUACUGACGCUGAGGUACGAAAGUGUGGGGAGCAAACAGGAUUAGAAACCCUAGUAGUCC
RNAcentral lists this ribosomal RNA (274 nucleotides) under uncultured bacterium. RNAcentral's name for it is "partial 16S ribosomal RNA". It matches the Rfam family "Bacterial small subunit ribosomal RNA", at positions 523 to 796 of the family's 1533-position model. The record is from RNAcentral.